Molecule: microRNA precursor, 78 nt
Filed under: Cavia porcellus (domestic guinea pig)
Lineage: Eukaryota; Metazoa; Chordata; Mammalia; Rodentia; Caviidae
Description: miRNA (ENSCPOG00000038372.1)
Source: RNAcentral
GGCUGAGUCAGAGGCACAGAAUUAGGCCCGAUUGAAGAUGGGGGUAGGAUCUGUUCUGUGUUCUUCUGUCAGCCUGGC